Anneissia japonica is the source of this 505-nucleotide long non-coding RNA. RefSeq lists it as uncharacterized. The record is from RefSeq and is a predicted model, not a curated record. The transcript has 3 exons. Lineage: Eukaryota; Metazoa; Echinodermata; Crinoidea; Comatulida; Comatulidae.
GUUGGAGGAGAGUAUCUAAGGCAAAAGACAAUAAAUCUGAGAUCCAAAGUGAAACAUUGCAAGUUGGUGAGUUUAAGUUGACACCAGUGGAGCCAGAGGCCAGCUUCUUCAGCAUUGAUAAUGAACAGUUUGAUGCAUACCCGGUACAUGUUAAAAUUCUUCCAAAUAAAUUGAGGUUUUUCAUCAAUGAGGAAACAAAUCAGACAAGGUGACCAUGGAGAAAUGCAGAUAGUAAACAACAAAGAUUGAUGUACUCUGGGUCAGCUGUGCUCACAAUGCUUAUGACAUGGACAGAACACCAACUGAUUACAUGUCUUGUUGAGGUUCCUUGUGGCAGUAUAUCAGACAGCAACAAUGCAACUCGAUUUGUUCUGUUAUUACUCUCAAUUUAUUGCCUCCAAUAAUUCUAUUUCAGUUCAUUGGUAUCGAUUUAUUGCAUAAUAGAACUGUGUGGAUAAAGAACAUUUAUUAUUUUAUAAUUAUUAAACUGAUAUGAAAGAAGAAA